CUAAUACUGUCUGGUAAUGCCGU
Molecule: non-coding RNA, 23 nt
Filed under: Gallus gallus (chicken)
Lineage: Eukaryota; Metazoa; Chordata; Aves; Galliformes; Phasianidae
Also listed under: 1 other name
Source: RNAcentral